Molecule: long non-coding RNA, 1279 nt
Organism: Carassius carassius (crucian carp)
Lineage: Eukaryota; Metazoa; Chordata; Actinopteri; Cypriniformes; Cyprinidae
Exons: 2
Source: RefSeq, a predicted model, not a curated record
CAGAGCACAAAUUAAGGUAUUUUUGAUUAAAUCCGAGAGCUCUUCCCAUAGACAGCAAGGGUCUUAUCACGAUCAAGGUCCAGAAACAUAGCAAGGACGUCGGUAAAGUAAUCCAUGUGACAUCAGGGGUUCAACUGCAAUUUUACGAAGUAAUUUAAUGACUUUAUUCAAAUUUGUAAAUGGCAUAUGCUGUUCUGUGUCAGCUGCGCCACACAUAAAUUUAUUUUGCACAAAAAAAGUAUUCUUGUAGCUUCAUAAAAUUACUGUUGAACCCCUGAUGACACUUGCUGUCUAUGGGAGGGUCAGAGAGCUCUCGGGAUGCAUCAAAAAUAUCUUAAUAUGUGUUCUGAAGAUGAUGAAGGUCUUACGGGUUUGGGAUGACAUGAGUGAGAAAUUAAUGACAGAAUUUUCAUUUUUGGGUGAACUAACACUUCAAGGUUUUUUAUUUUAUUUUUUAUCUGUCUUUGGAAUUGUGGUUCAUGUACAGCAUCAUUACCAUUUCAAUAACUGUUUACAUUUGUUUUUUAAUGUGAAGCAGUUUAUUCAGAGCUAGAAUCAAGGCAGUUUUGCAGUGUUGCUUCUGAUCUACGAUCAGCUUCCCCUGCUGUUCACAGUCCUUCUCAGUAGAAUACCAUUGGUACAGAAUCCUCUCAGAUUGGCUUCUUCUUAGAGUUUACACAAAUAGAAACAAAAAUACAUGUAUAUAUUCACAAUGUAUAUGUGAAUAUGUAUAUACUUUUUAUACAUAGAAACUCACAUUUCUCUCCUGUGCGUAAUUGUCUUGGCACAAACAUUGAUUUUAGAGCCAUAGGUCAUGAUCCUCUCAAGGCUAUAUCUUGUCUUCUUUCAAUAUUUAUUAGAAAAAAACCUCGGCUUAUUCAGUCACACAUUCAUCUAUUGAUAUUAAGAUGUUUGUUUUUUUUAAAGACUCACUGAUUUUGAUCUUUAAUAGACACACUCUCAUCGUGCCUUUCAUUGAAUAUUUAUGGCUCGAUUCAUUUUGGUUUGCAGGGUCCAAUGUAACAUGUUACUGAAUAGUUGUUGCUUUCAGCUUCAUUAUUUGAAAUGCACUAUCAAUCAAAUGAAGUUUGCAAUAUGUUUGCUAUGUCAUGAACAUAGCAAUGUGGACCAUUAGUUGUCCUUUUAAUGCAUUUUUUUAUUAAAAAUGUUUUAGCACAGAGUGGUUUCAGGUGAGUUCCUUCAAGUGGUGCUGUUUCAGCACCUAAAGUCUGUAUCUUGGCAACAACAAAUUGUCAAUAAAACAAAAUUAUGACUGAAA